UUUAUUUAAGAUGAGACAAAGUGCUUCGGAAUGAUACAGAAAAGGUUAGCAUGACCCUGUGGCAAGGAUGACACACAAAUUUGUGAAGCGUUCCAUAUUUUU
Suncus etruscus (white-toothed pygmy shrew) is the source of this 102-nucleotide small nuclear RNA. The record is from RefSeq and is a predicted model, not a curated record. NCBI's taxonomy places the organism in Eukaryota, Metazoa, Chordata, Mammalia, Eulipotyphla, Soricidae.